CCUACGGGGGGCAGCAGUGGGGAAUUUUCCGCAAUGGGCGAAAGCCUGACGGAGCAAUACCGCGUGAGGGAGGAAGGCUUUUGGGUUGUAAACCUCUUUUCUCAGGGAGGAAAAUUUGACGGUACCUGAGGAAUAAGCAUCGGCUAACUCCGUGCCAGCAGCCGCGGUAAUACGGAGGAUGCAAGCGUUAUUCGGAAUUAUUGGGCGUAAAGCGUCCGCAGGUGGUUUUUCAAGUCUGCUGUCAAAGACCGAAGCUUAACUUCGGGUAGGCGGUGGAAACUGAGAGACUAGAGUACGGUAGGGGUAGAGGGAAUUUCCAGUGUAGCGGUGAAAUGCGUAGAGAUUGGAAAGGACACCAGUGGCGAAGGCGCUCUACUGGACCGUAACUGACACUCAGGGACGAAAGCUAGGGUAGCGAAAGGGAUUAGAUACCCCUGUAGUCCUAGCUGUAAACGAUGGAUACUAGGCGUUGCUUGUAUCGACCCGAGCAGUGCCGUAGCUAACGCGUUAAGUAUCCCGCCUGGGGAGUACGCACGCAAGUGUGAAACUCAAAGGAAUUGACGGGGGCCCGCACAAGCGGUGGAGUAUGUGGUUUAAUUCGAUGCAACGCGAAGAACCUUACCAGGGCUUGACAUCCCGCGAAUCUUUAUGAAAGUAGAGGGUGCCUUAGGGAACGCGGAGACAGGUGGUGCAUGGCUGUCGUCAGCUCGUGUCGUGAGAUGUUGGGUUAAGUCCCGCAACGAGCGCAACCCUCGUCCUUAGUUGCCAGCAUUAAGUUGGGCACUUUAGGGAGACUGCCGGUGACAAACCGGAGGAAGGUGGGGAUGACGUCAAGUCAGCAUGCCCCUUACGCUCUGGGCUACGCACGUACUACAAUGGUCAGGACAAAGGGCAGCAAGCUCGCAAGAGCAAGCGAAUCUCAUCAAACCUGGCCUCAGUUCAGAUUGCAGGCUGCAACUCGCCUGCAUGAAGGAGGAAUCGCUAGUAAUCGCAGGUCAGCAUACUGCGGUGAAUCCGUUCCCGGGCCUUGCACACACCGCCCGUC
This 1045-nucleotide ribosomal RNA is filed under the name uncultured cyanobacterium. RNAcentral describes it as "bacterial SSU rRNA". It matches the Rfam family "Bacterial small subunit ribosomal RNA", at positions 338 to 1398 of the family's 1533-position model. The record is from RNAcentral. Lineage: Bacteria; Bacillati; Cyanobacteriota.